This 253-nucleotide ribosomal RNA is filed under the name uncultured bacterium. RNAcentral's name for it is "partial 16S ribosomal RNA". It matches the Rfam family "Bacterial small subunit ribosomal RNA", at positions 524 to 776 of the family's 1533-position model. The record is from RNAcentral.
UACAGAGGGUGCGAGCGUUAAUCGGAAUUACUGGGCGUAAAGCGGGUGUAGGUGGCUCUAUAAGUCAGGAGUGAAAUCCCCAGGCUUAACCUGGGAAGUGCUUUUGAUACUGUAGAGCUUGAAUGUGGGAGAGGAUAAUAGAAUUCCAGGUGUAGUGGUGAAAUACGUAGAUAUCUGGAGGAAUACCGGAGGCGAAGGCGGUUAUCUGGCCCAACAUUGACACUGAGACCCGAAAGCGUGGGGAUCAAACAGG